RNAcentral lists this ribosomal RNA (406 nucleotides) under uncultured bacterium. RNAcentral's name for it is "partial 16S ribosomal RNA". It matches the Rfam family "Bacterial small subunit ribosomal RNA", at positions 30 to 526 of the family's 1533-position model. The record is from RNAcentral.
AUUGAACGCUGGCGGAAGGCCUAACACAUGCAAGUCGAACGAGUGGCGGACGGGUGAGUAAUGUCUGGGAACCUGCCUGAUGGGGGGGGUUCACUACUGGAAACGGUAUCUCAUACCGCAUACCAUAAGAUGUUCCCAGAUGGGAUUAGCUUGUUGGUGGGGUAACGGCUCACACAGGCGACGAGCCCUAGCUGGGCUGAGAGGAUGACCAGCCACACUGGAACUGAGACACGGUCCAGACUCCUACGGGAGGCAGCAGUGGGGAAUAUUGCACAAUGGGCGAAAGCCUGACGCAGCAAUGCCGCGUGUAUGAAGAAGGCCUUCGGGUUGUAAAGUACUUUCAGCGGGGAGGCGGUACCCAAAGAAGAAGCAACGGCUAACUCCGUGCCAGCAGCCGCGGUAAUUC